GACGAACCGGACAAACGUUAUCCGGAAUCAUUGGGUUUAAAGGGUCCGUAGGCGGGAUAAUAAGUCAGCGGUGAAAGUCUGUGGCUCAACCAUAGAAUUGCCAUUGAUACUGUCGUUCUUGAGUGCUUAUGAAGUGGUUAGAAUAUGUAGUGUAGCGGUGAAAUGCAUAGAUAUUACAUAGAAUACCGAUUGCGAAGGCAGAUCACUAAUAAGAUACUGACGCUGAUGGACGAAAGCGUGGGUAGCGAACAGG
Molecule: unclassified non-coding RNA, 253 nt
Filed under: uncultured Flavobacteriaceae bacterium
Lineage: Bacteria; Pseudomonadati; Bacteroidota; Flavobacteriia; Flavobacteriales; Flavobacteriaceae
Description: contains 16S-23S intergenic spacer region
Rfam family: Bacterial small subunit ribosomal RNA
Source: RNAcentral